UCCAACUGACGCUAAUGCUCGAAGGUGCGGGUAUCGAACAGGAUUAGAUACCCUGGUAGUCCGCACGGUAAACGAUGGAUGCUCGCUGUUGGCGAUAUACAGUCAGCGGCCCAGCGAAAGCGUUAAGCAUCCCACCUGGGGAGUACGCCGGCAACGGUGAAACUCAAAGGAAUUGACGGGGGCCCGCACAAGCGGAGGAACAUGUGGUUUAAUUCGAUGAUACGCGAGGAACCUUACCCGGGCUUGAACUGCAGCUGAACGAUCCAGAGAUGGUGAGGCCCUUCGGGGCAGCUGUGGAGGUGCUGCAUGGUUGUCGUCAGCUCGUGCCGUGAGGUGUCGGCUUAAGUGCCAUAACGAGCGCAACCCUUUUCUGAAGUUGCCAUCAGGUAGAGCUGGGCACUCUUCAGACACUGCCACCGUAAGGUGUGAGGAAGGUGGGGAUGACGUCAAAUCAGCACGGCCCUUACGUCCGGGGCUACACACGUGUUACAAUGGGAGAUACAGAGAGUAAGUGAAUGGUAACAUUCAUUCAAUCAAUAAAGUCUUCCUCAGUUCGGAUUGGGGUCUGCAACCCGACCCCAUGAAGCUGGAUUCGCUAGU
This 600-nucleotide ribosomal RNA is filed under the name uncultured bacterium. RNAcentral's name for it is "bacterial SSU rRNA". It matches the Rfam family "Bacterial small subunit ribosomal RNA", at positions 735 to 1339 of the family's 1533-position model. The record is from RNAcentral.